This 1542-nucleotide ribosomal RNA is filed under the name Klebsiella pneumoniae 30684/NJST258_2. RNAcentral describes it as "bacterial SSU rRNA". It matches the Rfam family "Bacterial small subunit ribosomal RNA". The record is from RNAcentral. Lineage: Bacteria; Pseudomonadati; Pseudomonadota; Gammaproteobacteria; Enterobacterales; Enterobacteriaceae.
AAAUUGAAGAGUUUGAUCAUGGCUCAGAUUGAACGCUGGCGGCAGGCCUAACACAUGCAAGUCGAGCGGUAGCACAGAGAGCUUGCUCUCGGGUGACGAGCGGCGGACGGGUGAGUAAUGUCUGGGAAACUGCCUGAUGGAGGGGGAUAACUACUGGAAACGGUAGCUAAUACCGCAUAAUGUCGCAAGACCAAAGUGGGGGACCUUCGGGCCUCAUGCCAUCAGAUGUGCCCAGAUGGGAUUAGCUUGUAGGUGGGGUAACGGCUCACCUAGGCGACGAUCCCUAGCUGGUCUGAGAGGAUGACCAGCCACACUGGAACUGAGACACGGUCCAGACUCCUACGGGAGGCAGCAGUGGGGAAUAUUGCACAAUGGGCGCAAGCCUGAUGCAGCCAUGCCGCGUGUGUGAAGAAGGCCUUCGGGUUGUAAAGCACUUUCAGCGGGGAGGAAGGCGGUGAGGUUAAUAACCUCAUCGAUUGACGUUACCCGCAGAAGAAGCACCGGCUAACUCCGUGCCAGCAGCCGCGGUAAUACGGAGGGUGCAAGCGUUAAUCGGAAUUACUGGGCGUAAAGCGCACGCAGGCGGUCUGUCAAGUCGGAUGUGAAAUCCCCGGGCUCAACCUGGGAACUGCAUUCGAAACUGGCAGGCUAGAGUCUUGUAGAGGGGGGUAGAAUUCCAGGUGUAGCGGUGAAAUGCGUAGAGAUCUGGAGGAAUACCGGUGGCGAAGGCGGCCCCCUGGACAAAGACUGACGCUCAGGUGCGAAAGCGUGGGGAGCAAACAGGAUUAGAUACCCUGGUAGUCCACGCCGUAAACGAUGUCGAUUUGGAGGUUGUGCCCUUGAGGCGUGGCUUCCGGAGCUAACGCGUUAAAUCGACCGCCUGGGGAGUACGGCCGCAAGGUUAAAACUCAAAUGAAUUGACGGGGGCCCGCACAAGCGGUGGAGCAUGUGGUUUAAUUCGAUGCAACGCGAAGAACCUUACCUGGUCUUGACAUCCACAGAACUUAGCAGAGAUGCUUUGGUGCCUUCGGGAACUGUGAGACAGGUGCUGCAUGGCUGUCGUCAGCUCGUGUUGUGAAAUGUUGGGUUAAGUCCCGCAACGAGCGCAACCCUUAUCCUUUGUUGCCAGCGGUCCGGCCGGGAACUCAAAGGAGACUGCCAGUGAUAAACUGGAGGAAGGUGGGGAUGACGUCAAGUCAUCAUGGCCCUUACGACCAGGGCUACACACGUGCUACAAUGGCAUAUACAAAGAGAAGCGACCUCGCGAGAGCAAGCGGACCUCAUAAAGUAUGUCGUAGUCCGGAUUGGAGUCUGCAACUCGACUCCAUGAAGUCGGAAUCGCUAGUAAUCGUAGAUCAGAAUGCUACGGUGAAUACGUUCCCGGGCCUUGUACACACCGCCCGUCACACCAUGGGAGUGGGUUGCAAAAGAAGUAGGUAGCUUAACCUUCGGGAGGGCGCUUACCACUUUGUGAUUCAUGACUGGGGUGAAGUCGUAACAAGGUAACCGUAGGGGAACCUGCGGUUGGAUCACCUCCUUACC